This 825-nucleotide long non-coding RNA is filed under the name Marmota monax (woodchuck). Lineage: Eukaryota; Metazoa; Chordata; Mammalia; Rodentia; Sciuridae. The record is from RNAcentral.
GAAAAAGCAAGUAGCAGAAAAAAGGUUGAGUGAGAGUAUAGAAGAAAAAGAAGAGAAAGCUGAAAUGAAUAAAUUCUUUACUUCGAAGAAAAAAGAAAGAACAUAUAAGUCAAAGAAACAGUAAACCAAAAAAACGAAAACAAACACAAACAAAAUAAAUAGGAAAAAUGGGAGGGAAGUAAGAGAGACCGAAGGAAAAGUGAUGAGAGAGAAAAGGAAGGGGGGAAAUAAGAGGAAUAGAGUAUAGGAAGAAGGAUGAGUACCCAGCAGCUAAAAGUCCAUGUGAUGAAUACCCAGCAGCUUUGGCAAGUGUGUGUGCACACCUAUAUCCCUGGGACUAACAACUCACUUUGCUGUUUCCUUCCCCAGGGAUAUUAGGGUGACUCUGAAAGUUUCACAUGAUGAAUCCCAGUGACUGCAACAGGUGUAGACACCUGUACCCCUGUGAAUAUCCUACUACUCUUGCCCUAUCCUGUGAAACCCAGAUGGCUCUGAAAGUCCCAUGACAAAUUCCACUGUGUGAGAUCUGGACAGAUUAAAUUGUCCCAAAGUGCAACUGGUGUGUAUAGUCCUGUGUAAAACCCAAACUGCCAGUUUCAGAAGUCCCAUCAUCAGCCUUUCACAGAUUAGAGCUCCCAGUGGGUUCAUGCCAUAGUCCCAUUCCUGAUCCUCAGAUGAUUUUUGGAUUGGGCACACAUUAACCAAAUUAGGGGGAGGGAGAAAUUAGCAUGAGGUUGUUGGGUCUUGGGGAUUCAAAAAAUAAGAGAAAAAAAGAGAGAGGACAAAACAAACAAACAAACAACAACAACAAAAAAAAAACCAACC